CCUACGGGUGGCUGCAGUGGGGGAUAUUGCACAAUGGGGGGAACCCUGAUGCAGCGACGCCGCGUGGGUGAAGGAGCGUUUCGGCGCGUUAAGCCUCUUCGGCAGGGAAGAAGAUGACGGUACCUGACCAAGAAGCCCCGGCUAACUACGUGCCACCAGCCGUGGCAACAAGCAGGGGGCAAGCGUUAUCCGGAUUUACUGGGUGUUAAGGGGGCGCAGAGGGCAAUGCAAGCCAGGAGUGAAAGCCCGGGGCCCAACCCCGGGACUGCUCUUGGAACUGCAUGGCUGGAGUAGGGGAGGGGCAGGCGGAAUGCCUGGUGUAGCGGUGAAAUGCGUAGAUA
RNAcentral lists this ribosomal RNA (341 nucleotides) under uncultured bacterium. Its description in RNAcentral is "partial 16S ribosomal RNA". It matches the Rfam family "Bacterial small subunit ribosomal RNA", at positions 338 to 696 of the family's 1533-position model. The record is from RNAcentral.